This 200-nucleotide unclassified non-coding RNA is filed under the name soil metagenome. RNAcentral describes it as "partial contains internal transcribed spacer 2 and large subunit ribosomal RNA". The record is from RNAcentral.
CGUCAUUUCAACCCUCAAGCUUAGCUUGGUAUUGGGUGUCACCUGGUAACAUUGGUGCACCUUAAAAUUAGUGGCGGUGCAUCAGGCUUCAAGCGUAGUAAUACUUUCGCUUUAGAAGCUCAGAUGCGUGCUUGCCAUCAACCUAUAAACUUUUUUCAAUGGUUGACCUCGGAUCAGGUAGGGAUACCCGCUGAACUUAA